Long non-coding RNA from Pseudophryne corroboree (corroboree frog), 464 nucleotides. RefSeq lists it as uncharacterized. The transcript has 3 exons. The record is from RefSeq and is a predicted model, not a curated record. Lineage: Eukaryota; Metazoa; Chordata; Amphibia; Anura; Myobatrachidae.
CACCACCCAAAGCGGGUUAGGGUAGGGGACAGGGGAAGAGAUAAAAUAAUACCCCGUCCCCUGUCGGCAUUGUAAUUGUCGGGAUGCCGGUGUCUGUCAUGUGUCCAGUGGCAUCCCGACCGCCGUGAUCCUGUAUCACAUGCAAGGAGUGUAUGAAUACAAGUCAAAGAGCCAAGGAGAAAAACCAAGUUUCCAAGUCAUUUUGUAACUGAAUUGAUGUGCCAUAAGCAGAGGAGAAGGACCAGUGGGGGAAUUCAACACCAUCAUCUGCCCGACUUCAGCAGGUUUGAAAGUCACAUGUACCGGACAACUCGCAUGUAUGAAUGACAGUGACCAGGCCCUCAUGAUAUUUCACCAUAGACACAACGUGUUGCAUUUCACAUGUCUGGGAGUAUCCUUGAUUAAUCUGAUACAAUAAUACUGGCACCGUUUCUGUAUCCAUUACAUUACCCAUGUUUAAUAAA